This 253-nucleotide ribosomal RNA is filed under the name uncultured bacterium. RNAcentral describes it as "partial 16S ribosomal RNA". It matches the Rfam family "Bacterial small subunit ribosomal RNA", at positions 524 to 776 of the family's 1533-position model. The record is from RNAcentral.
UACGAAGGGGGCUAGCGUUGCUCGGAAUUACUGGGCGUAAAGCGCACGUAGGCGGAUUGUUAAGUCAGGGGUGAAAUCCUGGAGCUCAACUCCAGAACUGCCUUUGAUACUGAAGAUCUUGAGUUCGGGAGAGGUGAGUGGAACUGCGAGUGUAGAGGUGAAAUUCGUAGAUAUUCGCAAGAACACCAGUGGCGAAGGCGGCUCACUGGCCCGAUACUGACGCUGAUGCACGAAAGCGUGGGGAGCAAACAGG